Salvelinus sp. IW2-2015 is the source of this 512-nucleotide non-coding RNA. NCBI's taxonomy places the organism in Eukaryota, Metazoa, Chordata, Actinopteri, Salmoniformes, Salmonidae. The record is from RefSeq and is a predicted model, not a curated record.
UAGGGGAUCAUGGUAACCUUUUCAAAAAAUAAGGACUCUUCAACGUUGUGUUUGCGUUAGGGUCAGGUCACUGAACGGUUACAUUGAAGUUUUUGUUACUGCAGUUUUACGUGAAAGUUAGGGUUAGGUGUUGAGGGAAGGUUAGAUGGUUAGAUGUUGAGGGAAGGUUAGAUGUUGAGGGAAGGUUAGAUGUUGAGGGAAGGUUAGAUGUUGAGGGAAGGUUAGGGUUAGAUGUUGAGGGAAGGUUAGGGUUAGAUGUUGAGGGAAGGUUAGAUGUUGAGGGAAGGUUAGAUGUUGAGGGAAGGUUAGAUGUUGAGGGAAGGUUAGAUGUUGAGGGAAGGUUAGAUGUUGAGGGAAGGUUAGAUGGUUAGAUGUUGAGGGAAGGUUAGGGUUAGAUGUUGAGGGAAGGUUAGAUGUUGAGGGAAGGUUAGGGUUACAGUAUAAUGUUACAGGAGUGGGUAUUGAUACGAUAUUACUGAUUAUACUACUGAUGUAUUCUGACUUGUUACACA